CCGAGUUUACAACUCCCAAACCCCUGUGAACAUACCUGUUUUGUUGCUUCGGCGGUGCCCUCGCUCUCGCGGCGAGGCCCGCCAGAGGACCCAAACAAACUCUUUGAUUUUGAUCUAGGAUUAUACAUCUGAGUGAUACAAAAAUAAAAUCA
RNAcentral lists this unclassified non-coding RNA (152 nucleotides) under uncultured Mariannaea. RNAcentral describes it as "sequence contains ITS1". The record is from RNAcentral. Lineage: Eukaryota; Fungi; Ascomycota; Sordariomycetes; Hypocreales; Clavicipitaceae.